RNAcentral lists this transfer RNA (76 nucleotides) under Fusobacteriaceae bacterium. RNAcentral's name for it is "tRNA-Trp". It matches the Rfam family "tRNA". From Rfam's summary of the family: Transfer RNA (tRNA) molecules are approximately 80 nucleotides in length. The record is from RNAcentral. Lineage: Bacteria; Fusobacteriati; Fusobacteriota; Fusobacteriia; Fusobacteriales; Fusobacteriaceae.
AGGGCAGUGGCUCAAUUGGUAGAGUAACGGUCUCCAAAACCGUCGGUUUAGGGUUCGAGUCCCUACUGCCCUGCCA